AGUGAACGCUGGCGGUAGGCCUAACACAUGCAAGUCGAACGGCAGCACAGUAAGAGCUUGCUCUUACGGGUGGCGAGUGGCGGACGGGUGAGGAAUACAUCGGAAUCUACUUUUUCGUGGGGGAUAACGUAGGGAAACUUACGCUAAUACCGCAUACGACCUACGGGUGAAAGCAGGGGAUCUUCGGACCUUUCGCGAUUGAAUGAGCCGAUGUCGGAUUAGCUAGUUGGCGGGGUAAUGGCCCACCAAGGCGACGAUCCGUAGCUGGUCUGAGAGGGUGAGAGGACACGGUGGGACUGAGAUGAGGCACAGACUAAUAGGGGAGGGAGGGGUGGGGUGGAGUGCAGAAUGGGAGGAAGCAGAACGAAGCAAAGCGGAGUGGGGGAUGAGGGCAUUCGGGUAGGAAACCGCAGGCGCAUGUGAAGAAGCGUGAGUGACGGUAACGGGGAAAGAAGCACCGGCUAACUACGUG
RNAcentral lists this ribosomal RNA (472 nucleotides) under uncultured bacterium. Its description in RNAcentral is "partial 16S ribosomal RNA". It matches the Rfam family "Bacterial small subunit ribosomal RNA", at positions 30 to 507 of the family's 1533-position model. The record is from RNAcentral.